GACGAACGCUGGCGGCGUGCUUAACACAUGCCAGUCGAACGGAAAGGCCCUGCUUUUGUGGGGUGCUCGAGUGGCGAACGGGUGAGUAACAUGGGAGUAACCUGCCCUGGACUGUGGGAUAACUUCAGGAAACUGGGGCUAAUACCGGAUAGGAGCUCCUGCUGCAUGGUGGGGGUUGGACAGUUUCGGCGGUGGGGGAUGGACUCGCGGCUUAUCAGCUUGUUGGUGGGGUAGUGGCUUACCAAUGCUUUGACGGGUAGCCGGCCUGAGAGGGUGACCGGCCACAUUGGGACUGAGGGACGGCCGAGACUGCUACGGGAGGCAGCAGUGGGGAAUAUUGCACAAUGGGCGGAAGCCGGAUGCAGAAACGCCGCGUGCGGGAUGACGGCCUUCGGGGGGUAAACCGCUUUCGCCUGUGACGAAGCGUGAGUGACGGUAAUGGGUAAAGAAGCACCGGCUAACUACGUG
Molecule: ribosomal RNA, 468 nt
Filed under: uncultured bacterium
Lineage: Bacteria
Description: partial 16S ribosomal RNA
Rfam family: Bacterial small subunit ribosomal RNA
Source: RNAcentral